Molecule: long non-coding RNA, 968 nt
Organism: Chroicocephalus ridibundus (black-headed gull)
Lineage: Eukaryota; Metazoa; Chordata; Aves; Charadriiformes; Laridae
Exons: 3
Source: RefSeq, a predicted model, not a curated record
CAUGUGGGUGGACUAGCAACUUGUCAGAGCUCGGUGGAAGAAAGGGAGCGGUAUUUCUAUUACCAUAUGCAAGGAUAAUUGAAUAAGAGAGUUCAGUAUUGUGCAAGAAGUGAAAUGAGAGGAUGUAGGAAUUGAAUUUGCUGCAUUCUCUGUUUCAAAUUCAAUCAGCAAUUAUCCCUUUAUGUAGCCAUAGAACCAAGAGAGAAAGUAGAUGAGAAGAUCAUCCAUCAUCCAAAUGAGGAAAUUUACUUCUUCCCUGGUUCUACUGCUGUCCUGCCCAGAGAGGGGUGGAGGUAAUCUCCUUGACUGCCCUUGAUGUCAAAGGUGCUUUAUGACUCCCAACGAAGAAUAUGCUGGCUGCAAGUGACGUGAAUAAGCGGCGGUUUGACCUUCCUGGUAUCAGGUGGACCACGUGAAGACAGACCUUUACCCUCCAGUCAACUUCCAAACACCUCGCGAAAGGCAAAAUGCCCACUUCAGUCAUGUCCGCCGCUGAUCAUUAAUUGCUUCAGAAAAAGACAAUAUUUUAUCCGUCCUCUUUGGAGUUCGAGUGCGAAUGGCGAAGCAAAAGAGAGUGAAACUGAGUGAAACAUGAAAAGCUUGAUUUGUUAGGACCCCUGCUGCCUGAAAAGAGAUCAAAGCUCAGGAGGAGGCUGUAAAACAGCCAACUGCACCGCACAGAAGCGUGGCCCGUGGCAGCUGCUCUGGGCAGGCUCUCCCAACACAGGUGUACCUCCAGGUCUGCUCUGCCAGCUCCAUCACGGGAGCCCGGUACCUCUUCUCCCGCUUCAUUAUUUCAACGGCAGUCACCGAGGAGAUGUGGGCUCCAUCCAUCACAAUGCACAAAUUCACAGUGCGCAGAUUCAGCACAGGCCUAAUUAAAGCUUUUCCUUUCAUUUGUGGAGAUAAUUAGACUUUCAUCUCACCAGGAAGCUUCAGAAAGAUCUAUUUCUUUCUUCAAUAAAAGC